Molecule: ribosomal RNA, 506 nt
Filed under: uncultured bacterium
Lineage: Bacteria
Description: partial 16S ribosomal RNA
Rfam family: Bacterial small subunit ribosomal RNA
Source: RNAcentral
GAUGAACGCUAGCGGCAGGCUUAAUACAUGCAAGUCGUGGGGCAGCAGGUCUGUAGCAAUACAGAUGCUGGCGACCGGCAAACGGGUGCGGAACACGUACACAACUUUCCUUUAAGUGGGGAAUAGCCCAGAGAAAUUUGAAUUAAUACCCCGUAACAUAGUGAAAAGGCAUCUUUUUAUUAUUAUAGCAGCAAUGCGCUUAAUGAUGGGUGUGCGUGUGAUUAGGUAGUUGGCGGAGUAAUAGCCCACCAAGCCUACGAUCAGUAACUGGUGUGAGAGCACGACCAGUCACACGGGCACUGAGACACGGGCCCGACUCCUACGGGAGGCAGCAGUAAGGAAUAUUGGGCAAUGGACGCAAGUCUGACCCAGCCAUGCCGCGUGGAGGAUGAAGGUCCUCUGGAUUGUAAACUUCUUUUAUCUGGGAAGAAAUCCAUCUUUUCUUGGGUGGUUGACGGUACCAGAUGAAUAAGCACCGGCUAACUCCGUGCCAGCCGCCGCAGUAA